Molecule: ribosomal RNA, 258 nt
Filed under: uncultured prokaryote
Description: partial 16S ribosomal RNA
Rfam family: Bacterial small subunit ribosomal RNA
Source: RNAcentral
CACGUAGGGGCGAGCGUUGUCCGGAAUUACUGGGCGUAAAGGGCGCGCAGGCUGUUAUGCGAGUCUGCUGUGAAAUGUACCGGCUCAACCGGUGCCUUGCGGCGGAUACUGCAUAGCUGGAGUACUGGAGAGGGAAGUGGAAUUCCCAGUGUAGCGGUGAAAUGCGUAGAUAUUGGGAAGAACACCGGUGGCGAAGGCGACUUGCUGGGCAGCAACUGACGCUGAGGCGCGAAAGCCAGGGGAGCAAACGGGAUUAGA